RNAcentral lists this long non-coding RNA (271 nucleotides) under Struthio camelus australis. RNAcentral's name for it is "lncRNA (ENSSCUG00000012394.1)". The record is from RNAcentral. Lineage: Eukaryota; Metazoa; Chordata; Aves; Struthioniformes; Struthionidae.
AUACCUCACAACAACAAGCUACCUCUAGAGGUUAGAUCAAAGAAACGAGGGACGGACGCGACCCACCACCGAUCCCAUUCCGUGCCACGGUGGGAUCCGGCUGCUCUCCAGCUAGUAACCUACUACGGAAAAGCCUGUUCUCCUUCUCCUGGCCUAAAUUAUGCUGGCUUGCUGUAAGCAGUUCUUCCUCUCCAGAGAUGGCUUCAGCAUACUUCUAGGUGACGAUUAGUUGGUGAUUAGUAGUCCUCUUGCAGGCCUGUCAGGUAGGCUG